Molecule: long non-coding RNA, 3451 nt
Organism: Protopterus annectens (West African lungfish)
Lineage: Eukaryota; Metazoa; Chordata; Ceratodontiformes; Protopteridae
Exons: 4
Source: RefSeq, a predicted model, not a curated record
AAACCCUAGUGCUGUGAUUGGCUAGGCUUAAGUGCAAAGUCAUCAAACAAACCAGAGCAGAAACAAAAAUCCAGGAACAAUACAGGACCUUGGUCAUCCAGGAAAUAUUACCCUAAGAUUUUAUUUUUGCAAAGCUGCAUUUAUAAAGUUCUGUUUCCGGGUAAACAUGUGUGAUCCAUUUACAGGGAAACCACUUGCAUACCCUGGAGUGUAUCCUCCACCAGCUGUCUACCCACCAGGUCCUGGUUAUCCAUACCCAGGAGGACCUGCAGUGCCUGGAGUGCCACCAGCCCCUUGCCCCCCUCCCCCUGUUUUAUAUCCUGUACCUAGUGGGUGCACCUGCUCAAGUAUGCCUGCUGGACACUUUUGUCCCCAUCAUCACCACCAUGGGCAUGGGCAUGAACAUCAUCAUCCUCAUCAUCCUCCUCCCCACCACCAUGGACAUCAUCAUCCUCAUCCUCACCACCAUGGACAUCAUCCUCAUCAUCACCACCACCACUAACUUGGUGGAUUUCUCAAGCAACUUUUGCACCAUUGUCACAAUCAUGGCGAAAAGGGCUAGCCUUAUAAAUUUGAAGACAUUAUCUUCUGGAAACGAUAAUUGAAUAAUCAACAGAAAGCUUGGUGGUGUAAUCACGAGUGUAAUCAUAUAUCAUUUUAAUAUUUUAUAUCGAGGGUGUAAGGCAUAAUGUCUUCAAUCUUCUCAACCAUCAAAACAUACUCAGCAGCACUGAGAGGUCUGCAGUACAUGGAAGUAGUGAAAAUGUUAGCAACAUGGUGUAUCUGAUGAACAUUCUGAAAAAAAUUAAGAAACAUCGAUUUAUCCAGACUGUUUUUAAAGUCUGUUGAAAUAGUCAAUACCCAGUGACUGACUUGUGAUAAAAUUUUAAUAUGACUAGUCAAGGUAUAUUAUCAACAAUAUGGAUCAGAAAGCAAAAAAAAAAAUGGCUGACUUAUUCAAGGUAUUUUUGAAAUAUAUAUCAGUCUAAAGUACAGCUGGUUUGCUCUUAGUCUAUCUAUGUGUGUUUGUGUGUGUUUUGCAGAAAGGGAGGAAAUGUGAAUGGCAUUUAUAGCUAUGAAUUUCAUGUUGAGUUAUAACAUUAAUCACAUGGUCUACAUAUCUGGUAAAUCCACAAAGGAUGAUAUUGUGCGUCAGAAAUCAAAAAUAAAAUUACAAUUAGCACUGUAAUACCAAAAAUACUAAGCGAUGCAUUAACAUUUGUAUUAAUACUGAAAAUUGGUUUAAACCAAGGUUGAUAUUGUUUUAAAAGAACUUAAGUAAUCACGUUUUUUUACAGACUGUCCCUCUUUAUCUUGUAUUUCUGUAAAAUAUGAGUGGUAUAAGGUGUAUGAAGUGUUUGAUUACAUUGUGAAGACAGAAGUUACUUGGAAAUGAGCACUGACAAACAGAACAAACUAUUUUCUAAUUAAAAGCAAUGUUGUCGUGUCUAUGGAAUUCAGUGCCUGCUUGGCUUCAAACAUCACUUACAGGUAGUCCUUAAAGCCCAUCAGUUAAAUACAGUUUACUGCAGUUUAAUACUAGAACCUUGUCAUUUUGCUCUGUUUUCACUGAUGUUGUGUGUUUUGUACCUACCUUUAGUGUGCUCUUGUUUAUUUUGUAGCUUUUUUGUGCAAUGUUUGGCUCUUAAUCACUUUACUUGAGAAAAGAUAAAGUGAAUAUAAAGCCCCAAAGCAUUGCUGAAUAUUGAAUAAACUGAGUAGGAUUAGAUUCUUCAGUCACCUUUCAGCUACAUAUAUGUGUUUCCACAUUGGUGAUAAUUAUGUAAUGUUUCCAUUCUGAAAAUGCUAUUGUGUCAAAUACAUGGUGCAAACUUUGAUAAUAAGAAAUAUAAAUGGUUGGUUAUAUAUAAAUUUAAAUGGAAAGUUACAUAUGCUCCUUGAUUCAACUAUAGUAGAAAAGAAAUUAAAAUUAAAUAUUUUUAAUCUAAAUAAAGAUAGUUUUAUGCUGUGUGUCUUAUGUUUUGCUUAUAUCAAUACCCCAUGUGUUUUGGACAUGUGGAAAUUAACCUACAUCUGUAUAAACAAUGGGAGUAUAAGUUGAAGAACUGUGUAAAAUAGAAUAAAUGAAAAAAGGCAGUCAAAGUAAAGAGCAAUGUAGUGGAACUGCUCUUAUGAAACGGUAUAAAUGAAUUUUCUACAUUCACUACCCAUCCCAUACCACUGUCAGAAAUAAUAUUUUUAAUAGACAUUAUAAUAAGGGCACUAUAACUGUAGCAGCCUCCAAGACUAUUAGAGUACACUGGUCGAUAACAGACCAGCGAAGCCUAAUCACUGAAUUCACUUCUCUUUUAAGACAUAGUGAAAAAAGCCAUUAGAUGACAUAAAGCAAACUAGCACUGAACAAACAAAAUUGAUUUCUAAUGAAACCUACAUUCUCUUGGAAAUAAAUUCAAUUACAUGUAGAACUGGGGGGGGGGGCACACUAGCAGUGCAGAUGUAACAUAAACAACAUAUGGCCUGGUGACCUUUGGAGAUUUAAAGGGUUUCUAAAAAUUUCUAGCGCUUCCUGAUCUGCUAACAUUUAUCUUCUAUUAUACUCCAAUUCUACUCCUAAUGAACUUGUACAACUUUUGCUUUAAAUGAAUUACGAUACAGAAACAUAACAAGCUAAAAUAUUAAUUUCUACAACAUUGUCUGUCAGGGUCAGACACUCUCUAUCCAUAGUUUAUCAAACUCUGAAAAGACCAUAUGUAUCAACCUUUCAAUUUCAUUUUUCAGUCUUUCCAUCACCCAACACAUCUUCCUCAAUAUCUGGACAUCUUCCAUUAUAAUAUUCCUACAAAGAACCAAACUGGAGUGAAAAGAGAGAGCUAACAAUCCAAGGUUCACAAAAUAUUAUUUUAAUAACUAAAACACAUACAAUAAGACAAUAAAAAGAUUAAGUGGUUUUGCCCCACUCGGGGGACUUCAUCAAAAUGCCUUCAUCUAUCCCAUCACAUAAUUUAUGCCUAAAUUCACCAUUAAUUAACCCAAGUAAUGUAAAACAGUAACCAAUGCAUCAGAUUUAAAGAGACAUACUCUUAAAAUACAGCUAAUACAAAUCUAUUAUAAACACAUAAUAAUACCACACAGAUUGUCACAGCAAGAGUACAAAUGUAUACAAAUUCACCAAAUGUUCUAAAAAGUCAUCCUUACAAUGUUUCAAUAAUUUACAUUGCAGCUAAAAUUGAUUAUAACUCAUUUGCCAAAGAUCUUAGUAAAAAAUGCAUAUACUUAAAAGCCAUUGCCUGCAGUAAUAACAAAUAAAAACUCACCAUGUGCUUAGAACUCAGAAGUUUAUUGGGACAGGUAUUAUCAAUAAGUUCAUUAUUCAUUUUACCAUAGCUUUUAGUUGAAGUGCUGGUUGUAAGCUGCUAAUAUCUAUUAUAAUUAAAACCAGAGGGGUGAAAGUCAUCCAACCUAUUUGCCAUAUUACCUCUUUAUAUUCCAA